RNAcentral lists this ribosomal RNA (510 nucleotides) under Paenibacillaceae bacterium CL4.69. Its description in RNAcentral is "bacterial SSU rRNA". It matches the Rfam family "Bacterial small subunit ribosomal RNA", at positions 17 to 503 of the family's 1533-position model. Lineage: Bacteria; Bacillati; Bacillota; Bacilli; Caryophanales; Paenibacillaceae. The record is from RNAcentral.
CCCUGGCUCAGGACGAACGCUGGCGGCGUGCCUAAUACAUGCAAGUCGAGCGGAGUUUUGUUGGAAGCUUGCUUCCAACAAUGCUUAGCGGCGGACGGGUGAGUAACACGUAGGCAACCUGCCCUCAAGACUGGGAUAACUACCGGAAACGGUAGCUAAUACCGGAUAAUUUCUUUCCUCUCCUGAAGAGAGAAUGAAAGGCGGAGCAAUCUGCCACUUGGGGAUGGGCCUGCGGCGCAUUAGCUAGUUGGUGGGGUAACGGCUCACCAAGGCGACGAUGCGUAGCCGACCUGAGAGGGUGAACGGCCACACUGGGACUGAGACACGGCCCAGACUCCUACGGGAGGCAGCAGUAGGGAAUCUUCCGCAAUGGGCGACAGCCUGACGGAGCAACGCCGCGUGAGUGAUGAAGGUUUUCGGAUCGUAAAGCUCUGUUGCCAGGGAAGAACGUCCGGUAGAGUAACUGCUACCGGAGUGACGGUACCUGAGAAGAAAGCCCCCGGCUAACUA